GAUAGCUUUAGAUGCAGCAGAGGGUUUAUCUUACCUGCACCAUGAUUGUGUUCCUCCAAUUGUUCAUCGGGAUGUGAAGUCGAACAACAUAUUGUUAGAUGGAGAGUUUGGUGCUAGAAUCGCAGAUUUUGGAGUUGCUAAAGCUGUACAAGGAAUUAACAAGGGAACAGAAUCCAUGUCUGUGAUUGCUGGUUCUUGUGGUUACCUUGCACCAGAAUAUGCCUAUACUGUCAGGGUGAAUGAGAAGAGUGACAUCUAUAGUUUUGGAGUAGUCAUAUUGGAGUUGGUAACAGGCAGGCUGCCUAUAGAUCCAGAAUUUGGAGAGAAAGACUUGGUGAAA
This 340-nucleotide unclassified non-coding RNA is filed under the name Hevea brasiliensis (rubber tree). The record is from RNAcentral. Lineage: Eukaryota; Viridiplantae; Streptophyta; Magnoliopsida; Malpighiales; Euphorbiaceae.